RNAcentral lists this ribosomal RNA (465 nucleotides) under Vreelandella stevensii. Its description in RNAcentral is "partial 16S ribosomal RNA". It matches the Rfam family "Bacterial small subunit ribosomal RNA", at positions 338 to 795 of the family's 1533-position model. Lineage: Bacteria; Pseudomonadati; Pseudomonadota; Gammaproteobacteria; Oceanospirillales; Halomonadaceae. The record is from RNAcentral.
CCUACGGGUGGCAGCAGUGGGGAAUAUUGGACAAUGGGCGAAAGCCUGAUCCAGCCAUGCCGCGUGUGUGAAGAAGGCCUUCGGGUUGUAAAGCACUUUCAGUGGGGAAGAAAGCCUUGGGGCUAAUACCCUCGAGGAAGGACAUCACCCACAGAAGAAGCACCGGCUAACUCCGUGCCAGCAGCCGCGGUAAUACGGAGGGUGCGAGCGUUAAUCGGAAUUACUGGGCGUAAAGCGCGCGUAGGCGGUCUGAUAAGCCGGUUGUGAAAGCCCCGGGCUCAACCUGGGAACGGCAUCCGGAACUGUCAGGCUAGAGUGCAGGAGAGGAAGGUAGAAGUCCCGGUGUAGCGGUGAAAUGCGUAGAGAUCGGGAGGAAUACCAGUGGCGAAGGCGGCCUUCUGGACUGACACUGACGCUGAGGUGCGAAAGCGUGGGUAGCAAACAGGAUUAGAUACCCCAGUAGUC